GAGUUUGAUCCUGGCUCACGACGAACGCUGGCGGCGUGCCUAAUACAUGCAAGUCGAGCGAGCUUGCCUAGAUGAUUUUAGUGCUUGCACUAAAUGAAACUAGAUACAAGCGAGCGGCGGACGGGUGAGUAACACGUGGGUAACCUGCCCAAGAGACUGGGAUAACACCUGGAAACAGAUGCUAAUACCGGAUAACAACACUAGACGCAUGUCUAGAGUUUGAAAGAUGGUUCUGCUAUCACUCUUGGAUGGACCUGCGGUGCAUUAGCUAGUUGGUAAGGUAACGGCUUACCAAGGCAAUGAUGCAUAGCCGAGUUGAGAGACUGAUCGGCCACAUUGGGACUGAGACACGGCCCAAACUCCUACGGGAGGCAGCAGUAGGGAAUCUUCCACAAUGGACGAAAGUCUGAUGGAGCAACACCGCGUGAGUGAAGAAGGGUUUCGGCUCGUAAAGCUCUGUCGUUAGAGAAGAACGUGCGUGAGAGCAACUGUUCACGCAGUGACGGUAUCUA
RNAcentral lists this ribosomal RNA (512 nucleotides) under uncultured bacterium. Its description in RNAcentral is "bacterial SSU rRNA". It matches the Rfam family "Bacterial small subunit ribosomal RNA", at positions 9 to 481 of the family's 1533-position model. The record is from RNAcentral.